AUGAUGCUCGACUCUCAAUUAACUGCUAGUGGUCAAAGGAGAAUGCAUGGCACAACCCGGGCAGCCCCCGGGCUAGCCGGGAGGUGGCUCCGCCACUGGCUGGAGGUUGGCGCCUUCAAGGUUGCGGAUAUCAUUGCCAUUCUUCUGGACCUUCACCAGGAAGUAGUAUCAAAACAACUCGAAGUUCGGGUUCGUCCCAAGGAAGCAUUCGCAAUGGGUGAUGUAGUUGGCGAUGUGGAGAAUGGCGUUGGGUGUCAGAUGAUGCAACUGACACCCGUAGGAGAACAAAAGCCCACACACAAAGCUGUCCAGCUGGAAAGGCAAACCUCGACAAAAGAACUGCUAGUGCAACACUCGCUUGUGCCGGCUGGUGGCAGGAUGGCCACGGCCCCCGCCGUCCUCCAUUGA
This 408-nucleotide ribosomal RNA is filed under the name Triticum aestivum (bread wheat). RNAcentral describes it as "partial small subunit ribosomal RNA". Lineage: Eukaryota; Viridiplantae; Streptophyta; Magnoliopsida; Poales; Poaceae. The record is from RNAcentral.